Molecule: non-coding RNA, 3389 nt
Organism: Xyrichtys novacula (pearly razorfish)
Lineage: Eukaryota; Metazoa; Chordata; Actinopteri; Labriformes; Labridae
Source: the annotation of a GenBank genome assembly
UUAUACGCAUUCAGCGGGAGAGUUGCAGAGUCGCAGUGAUGGCGCUCGGCUCAAACAGCGUAUCCCUGGGUGAGCUAUGCAAUCUUUGUACGUCCAUAGGCUGUCUCAAGUGUCAAUCAUAGAAAACAUGAACCUUUAAUAACUUUAGAAAUGGAGCGAGACAGAAAAAAAGAGGACUUGAGCACAAACCAGUCUUACUGUAACUACAUGUCAACAUCACAAGCAGGGGGGAGAAAAAUUUAUAUUCUGUGUAAUUAAUUUCUAAAAUUUGUCCACAGCUCCAUAAGGAUGGUUGGCGGAGGCGGGAUUUAUGACCUAUACUGCAGCUCGUCACCAGAGGGUGCUGUUCUCAGAGUGGCUUCACCUACCGGGGAGGCAGACUCUGUCCAUUCUAUGUACAGUCUAUGGUGAAAACAUGCUCCUAAGAAACGAGACGUCACUAGAUUCCAGCUAAGCCAUCAUACCUUGCCACUUGCUGGCCGUGUCGUACGCUGAUGCAACAAUACCGGUAAACAAGUGGAAAAACAACGCCUACUGUUGUAACAUUUAGCUAUUGUAGCAAUAGCAGUCUGACAUCAGUGUAGCUAUCGAUAGCUCGUCAAAAUGCACAAUUUUAAAAUGCUGACAGUUCAAAACAUAACUAAUAUUUACGUGGAGUAGCGUAAGUUUAAUUAUGAAAAUAUCAAAAUCAUACCUCUUGCUUUCAAGUGAGGUCCCGGUUUGUCUUUGUUUCAAGGACUGUGUACCCCUUGCCCCGUACCCUUAACCUUACGGAGAAUUGGGACACUCCUUGGCUUGACAUGAACACGCAAAACUGAGGGCUCAGGGGUAAGACAAGGGUUAAGGGGUACAAUGGGCUCUAUGCACAGCUCCACUACUUCUUGAACUUAAGGCAGCUCCUUCAUUUUCUGUCUUACAUUAUUGGAUAAACUGAUUAAUCCAGGCGUGUCUGAUCAUUAUGACUGCCUAGACACACCUGGAUUAAUCAGUUUAUCCAAUAAUGUAAGACAGGAAAUAAAGGAGCAGCUUUACAUUCAAGAAGUAAUAGAUUGGUGCAUAGAGCCCAUUGGGAUUGGCCAUAAGAGUCAAGAAGUUCCCAAGAAAUGAGUGGGAAAAAAUGUAUUGAUUCACUUGUUGUCACUUAUUGUAUCGAGUGUCCAGUAUCAGCCAUAUAAACCUUCUCUGGAGGACUAGACUGCAGGUAACCUGAGGUAAGAACAAGACAUGUUUCUAAUCACCUGAAAUUUUUAGGAUUUCACCAACUCUUAAAAGGAUUGUCUGGUAUUUUCGUAGUCAGGUUCUUUAAAGCGGUGGUGGUGUUGUUGUUGACAGAGCUCCAAAUCCAGCCACAAGGUUUACUGUUAAUCAAGAGUUAUUGGAUGCACCUGUGACCUUCCUCAGCUGGGAGUAAUAAGCAGCGGCUGGGGGGGCCAUGAGUGCUCCAGUUCAGCUGGGUUUUUGCUCCUCAGGAGGCCAACAUCUUCACACAGGUAAUUUAUUUCCUCCUUAAUCUUUUACUCUUGUCUUCUAUCAUUUUGACAGAGUUAGUAGGUGUCUGUGGAAAAGUUUUUCCACUGAAAAUACACCUACUUUGUUUCAGCUUUUUUUGAAAGGUGCCAUUUUUGUGAGUUUCCCAACCUGAGUCUGGGGAAAUGUAACAGCAUUUUUGGGCUGUUUGAAGGGCAAGGGUGAAAAAACCGAAAGGAUACCAGCUGUAUGCCAUGAGUUGUGAUUGCAUUUUUAAGAUUGACACUUUAAUCCACUUUAUUCUGGUAAAUAUUUAGGCAACAUUCAGUGAUGCAAAAUGAUUGAGCCCUGCUUCAAAAGUCCCCAAACUCCUUACUCUUCUUUUACCUGCAGUUACUCAAUUUAAAACAAUCAACAUGAUCACGCCACAGCGGACUGACUUGUGAAUAUGAAGCACUGAUCUCUUUCCAAUCUGAAACUCUGGAGGAGAGACACGUUCCUCUGAUCCUGUUUCAACAAACACGUUUCAUGAAAGUGUGUGAUUUCACAGCAUUAAAAGAGAGAUUGCAGUAAGAAAAGCUGUCAGCAUGUUCUGUUUCAUUUGUUACAAUAUCUACAUGAGGAUUUUCUGUUCAUGUAUGCUGGUGCUUCUGUGCUCAAGUGCGUUUCCAGGCAGCUGUACAGUUUGUGUGUCAGGGUGUAAUUGUGUUUCUGUGCUUUCAUUUAUGAGUUAGGAACAUUUAAUAAGCCUAGGGGUUUUACUCCAAUCACAGUGCGAAACUUUGAAAAAGUACUGCACUUCUAUUCGUUUCAGCAUACAGUGCACUGUCUCUAAAGUAGUACUUUCCAAACUUUACUUUUAAUACCAAAAUGAUCUUUUGUACUGGACUAAAUGUCAGUCUACCCAUUUAAUCUAAAUACAAGGUCCAGGGGCUUUUUCUGAAAUCUAAUACUCCAGGUUUUUUCAUUCAUUUUCAUACUUUAUUUCAUUCGGUUAAUAUUUAAAAUAUUCAAUACAAACAAGGAGAAAUCUCAAACGUGAAUGAAAAUGAGCAGAAAGAAGAAAACUCUUAUAAAGUCUGCCCCUCUUUCAUAAUACAGUAAAAUUAUCAACUAAACACAAUAAAAAUAAAAAGAGCUGCAGGCAAACGUGUUUUUUUUCAGUUCAGUAUUUCUUAUUUUCAAAAAGAACCCACAAAACAAACAGAAAAGACCACGUUAAUUCAUAUUUUUACACAAAACAAACAUACCAAGACUUUGAUUAACAUGUUUCCCUGUAUUUACUCAACAUUCUGGCUUUGACACUUUUUUUAUAGAUAAAAUUUGAUUUAGCUUCUUUUGUUUCUUUGUUCAGAUUGUUCCACAAACUUAUUCUUCUCACUGUAACACAGCGCUCUUUCUGUGAAUCUUGGCUUUUUAAACAUUUCAGAUCCUUUUUAAAUUAUAACAACUUUAUCUUUUUCAAAUCGGCUCUGGAUUUUGACUGGUAAAUUUUUCCUAUGAGCUUUAUACAUAAUCUGCAACAUACCGAAAUCUACUAACUCAUUGAAUUUCAACAACAGCAAUUUAACAAAUAAUGGGUCUGAGGGAUCUUUGUAUUGACUUCUACUAAUAUUCAUAUUGCUCAUUUUUGUAAAAUGAAAAUCGGCAGGAUGGAAGUUUUGCAUGCGCUUCCUCACACUUCAACACAGUAGGUCAGAUAUGGAACAAUAAUCGAACUAUACAAGAGGUACAAAGCUUUAUUAUCUAUGUAGUCUUUUCAUCACGAUCAAAAUAACCACAAUAGAGUCACAGCAGAUCUCCACAAUCUAUUCAAUCAGCCAUAUGUAGAAAUGAGUGUACAUACAUUUAAUUCAAUAAUUAGCUAUAAAUAUAAUGAAUCAUAUCAUUCGCACAUUAAUUCCAACACACAAUGACACAGC